RNAcentral lists this ribosomal RNA (446 nucleotides) under uncultured bacterium. RNAcentral describes it as "partial 16S ribosomal RNA". It matches the Rfam family "Bacterial small subunit ribosomal RNA", at positions 354 to 796 of the family's 1533-position model. The record is from RNAcentral.
GUGAGGAAUAUUGCGCAAUGGACGAAAGUCUGACGCAGCCAUGCCGCGUGAAGGAUUGACGGCCCUAUGGGUUGUAAACUUCUUUUGUAUAGGAAUAAACCCUCGUUCGUGAACGAGGCUGAAGGUACUAUAAGAAUAAGCACCGGCUAACUCCGUGCCAGCAGCCGCGGUAAUACGGAGGGUGCAAGCGUUAUCCGGAUUUAUUGGGUUUAAAGGGUCCGUAGGCGGAUCGUUAAGUCAGUGGUGAAAUCCUACCGCUCAACGGUAGAACUGGCAUUGAUACUGGCGAUCUUGAGUAUGUAUGAAGUUGGCGGAAUGUGUGGUGUAGCGGUGAAAUGCUUAGAUAUCACACAGAACACCGAUUGCGAAGGCAGCUGACUAAUACACAACUGACGCUGAGGGACGAAAGUGUGGGGAUCAAACAGGAUUAGAUACCCUGGUAGUCC